AAUGACACGAAAGUAUUUUCGUCAAGGCCGCAGAUUACCACACGCCCACACCACAGCCGCUCCUGUUUGUACAUUUUCCCCAAAUCUCCUCUAAUCCUAGCCACCCCUGCCCUCCCCUCGAACCCUAGCCGCCCCUGCCCUCCCAUUGAGCGUGAGCCGUAGCCGAUCUAGCCACCGGCGGGGCGGCGCAAGCGGCGGCCGGUUCGGCCAACGGCGGGGCGGCGCAAGCGGUGGCCGGUUCGGCCAACGGCGGGGCAGCGCGGCGUGAGCGAGGGCCAGUCCGGCCAACGGAGGGGCGGCGCGAGCGGCAGCCGGUCCGGCCAAUGGCGGGGAGAGCGAUCGACGACCUGUUUGGCAACCGACGGGGCUGCACGACCUUGAUCUCUCCAGGUUACAGAGGUGGGAGGAAAGCAGAAGAGUGUGCGACAAGCUGCCACAUCUCACGUCCAAUUUAUUUUAUCUCACGUACAGAGGUUAGAGACGAAAUCUUUUGAAAAUUGAUCAGCCAAUACAGAAAAAUGUCUCCCAGUGAAGUGUGCAAAGUGUGCCUGCAGCGGGGACGGAAUAGGAUAACGUAAGAAAUAAACAGAAAUACUGCUACUUCAUCCAGCAAAAAUGGUAGUAUACCCAGCGCUGAAUGUGUAUGUUUGCAUGUAUGUGCAGUUUAAUGUACGGUGCAUGCUUAAUUACACGUCUUAUCUAUGUAUCAUGACACAAUGUGGUCAGCUCGCAGAUCAUUGUAAGUUUUGACGGAAUAGGCAUGUGUUGUACUAACUCCUUUUGUAUGCUUUUGAUGUUAAGUUACUAAUUAUAUCAAUAGAAUUUCUGUCAUCCUCUGUUAAA
This is a long non-coding RNA of Hordeum vulgare subsp. vulgare (domesticated barley), 843 nucleotides long. RefSeq lists it as uncharacterized. The transcript is spliced from 4 exons. Lineage: Eukaryota; Viridiplantae; Streptophyta; Magnoliopsida; Poales; Poaceae. The record is from RefSeq and is a predicted model, not a curated record.